GUGUCAUUAAAUAUUGCUGCCGCAGGGGUGGGUGGCACACGAGGGCUAGGACAAGGCAGCAGCUUUAUUCGGAAAGUCUGGCAGUCCUCUGACAAAGGCUCCUGAUCUGAAAGGAAGUGGUGUCACCAAAGGGCAGAUCUGCAGUUUUCUUCAACGAGCUAGGAGGGAAAUGGGGACGAAACUCAUCGUAUCUGUCCCCAGAAGAGCCAAACGUGCAUUGAAGCCGGUGCUGCAGAGAGAGGAAGACUGAGCACUUUAGUGUCUAAGCUCCUGUUAUAACAGGCUCUAUCCACCACUGCAUGCUGGAGUGAACAACAUAACAGUGAGAGAGAGAACUGCUACCUACCGUGCAGACACUUGGAGAGCCCUGUUUCCUGGUUGGACCCUGACUGACACAAUGAUGUUGGAAAGAAGAGGAGAACCAGUGGCACAAAACAAUGUCCUCCGACAAUUCUCACCUCCUGGUACUUGUGUACCCGCCUCCCUUUGAGUGGGGGCUGGCCUGGCAACUUGCUUCUAACUAACAGAAUAUGGCAAAAGUGACAGGAUGCCUUCUGUGAUGAGGCUACGAAAGAUGGGAUUUCUGUCUUGCUAGAAGAUUCUCUUGCUGGCUUUGAUGGAGUAAACGUCCAUGUCGCGAGCUGCCCCGUUGGAAAGGGCCUGUG
This 665-nucleotide long non-coding RNA is filed under the name Equus asinus (donkey). RNAcentral describes it as "lncRNA (ENSEASG00005031494.1)". The record is from RNAcentral. Lineage: Eukaryota; Metazoa; Chordata; Mammalia; Perissodactyla; Equidae.